RNAcentral lists this signal recognition particle RNA (227 nucleotides) under uncultured Pyramimonas. RNAcentral describes it as "partial Plant signal recognition particle RNA". It matches the Rfam family "Plant signal recognition particle RNA", at positions 12 to 251 of the family's 305-position model. The record is from RNAcentral. Lineage: Eukaryota; Viridiplantae; Chlorophyta; Pyramimonadophyceae; Pyramimonadales.
UAGCGCCUGCCUGUAACCCGAGCGGGGGUGGGGACUCGUGAAUCAUCAUCUGGUGGUUUCGGUCCGCAGUCUCAUGCCGAUGGCGUGCCCACCUCAAGUAAGGUGUCACCACUUAGAUCUCCCUGACGGGGGUGAGGGGGGGUGUUAAUGCGAAGGGUAAUGCGUGAGGCGGGAAACCGAGCAGCGAAUACCUUCCGCACCUGACGGUGAGGGGAUCACACUCCUGA